RNAcentral lists this ribosomal RNA (258 nucleotides) under uncultured bacterium. RNAcentral's name for it is "partial small subunit ribosomal RNA". It matches the Rfam family "Bacterial small subunit ribosomal RNA", at positions 26 to 285 of the family's 1533-position model. The record is from RNAcentral.
AGGACGAACGCUGGCGGCGUGCUUAACACAUGCAAGUCGAACGGUGAAGCCCUUUCGGGGGUGGAUCAGUGGCGAACGGGUGAGUAACACGUGAGCAACCUGCCCUUGACUCUGGGAUAACUUCGGGAAACCGGAGCUAAUACCGGAUAUGACACGCGGAGGCAUCUCCUGUGUGUGGAAAGAUUCAUUGGUCAAGGACGGGCUCGCGGCCUAUCAGCUAGUUGGUGGGGUAAUGGCCUACCAAGGCGACGACGGGUA